RNAcentral lists this ribosomal RNA (504 nucleotides) under uncultured bacterium. RNAcentral's name for it is "partial 16S ribosomal RNA". It matches the Rfam family "Bacterial small subunit ribosomal RNA", at positions 29 to 507 of the family's 1533-position model. The record is from RNAcentral.
ACGCACGCUGGCGGCGUGCCUAAUACAUGCAAGUAGAACGCACAGUUUAUACCGUAGCUUGCUACACCAUAAACUGUGAGUUGCGAACGGGUGAGUAACGCGUAGGUAACCUGCCUGGUAGCGGGGGAUAACUAUUGGAAACGAUAGCUAAUACCGCAUAAUAUUGAUUAUUGCAUGAUAAUUGAUUGAAAGAUGCUAUUGCAUCACUACCAGAUGGACCUGCGUUGUAUUAGCUAGUAGGUGAGGUAACGGCUCACCUAGGCGACGAUACAUAGCCGACCUGAGAGGGUGAUCGGCCACACUGGGACUGAGACACGGCCCAGACUCCUACGGGAGGCAGCAGUAGGGAAUCUUCGGCAAUGGACGAAAGUCUGACCGAGCAACGCCGCGUGAGUGAAGAAGGUUUUCGGAUCGUAAAGCUCUGUUGUAAGAGAAGAACGGGUGUGAGAGUGGAAAGUUCACACUGUGACGGUAUCUUACCAGAAAGGGACGGCUAACUACGUG